RNAcentral lists this ribosomal RNA (432 nucleotides) under uncultured bacterium. RNAcentral describes it as "partial 16S ribosomal RNA". It matches the Rfam family "Bacterial small subunit ribosomal RNA", at positions 29 to 506 of the family's 1533-position model. The record is from RNAcentral.
AACGAACGCUGGCGGCAUGCCUAACACAUGCAAGUCGAACGAGACCUUCGGGUCUAGUGGCGCACGGGUGCGUAACGCGUGGGAACCUGCCCUUAGGUUCGGAAUAACUCCCCGAAAGGGGUGCUAAUACCGGAUAAUGUCUUCGGACCAAAGAUUUAUCGCCUUUGGAUGGGCCCGCGUUGGAUUAGCUAGUUGGUAGGGUAAAAGCCUACCAAGGCGACGAUCCAUAGCUGGUCUGAGAGGAUGAUCAGCAACACUGGGACUGAGACACGGCCCAGACUCCUACGGGAGGCAGCAGUGGGGAAGAUUGGACAAUGGGCGAAAGCCUGAUCCAGCAAUGCCGCGUGAGUGAUGAAGGCCUUAGGGUUGUAAAGCUCUUUUACCCGGGAUGAUAAGGACAGUACCGGGAGAAUAAACUCCGGCUAACUCCGU